CAUCAGUAAAUGAGAGCGUUCUGCACGUGAUAUUAACACCAGAUCCUUUGAAUGGUGCCAGAAUGUAAUGUUUCUACAGCACGCGCUGUCACCUCGCAUAACCCAUGUCUGUAAACUACAUUACCUUAAAGUGCAUUUUCAUAGACAAAGAACGUUUAUAACUUCCGAUCCCAGUAAACAAAACUCAUAAUCAACCUGGCCGUCAGUAUAGUUAAAUCAUGUGUCCAGUUAUGAAGAUCAGAAUGCAUUGUUUCGUCACUUGCGUAGCCUUGCUUUUAACAAUAUUUCGGUCGUAAUUCCAAUAAUGUUUGAAGAGUUUCGACCAGCUUAGGUUAGUCCUAAAUACAGUUAAUAAAAGUAACAAUAAUAACUUUUUUUUUAGUUUGUGUGCUGUACCUAUCACGGGUAUAGUAAACCUGGUAGUAAUACAACAAACCAAGCGUGAUCUACACAUGUUACGCCAUCUAUCGAAAAAUACCUAAUUCAAAGAGAAAUAUAUCUUUCAUAUCUGUCGAAAACGUUGUCGUAAAACCCCGAAAAUAUAUGACAAAAUAGAAGGAGAAGCUGGAAAGAGGGUUGUAGUGUUGACAAACUUUCAAAAUGACCUUCGUAAUACACCAUGAAAGUUUAAUAAUUAAUCAGAAUGUUACUGUUAUAUUUACAUAUUUUAGUCACGUAGUGAUCUUACAUCGGCUGUAACUCCAUGUUUUUAAAUAUAGAAUAUGUACAUAUCUCUUUAUGAUGUAAAUAAAAGUUAUCAUUAUU
Molecule: long non-coding RNA, 765 nt
Organism: Limulus polyphemus (Atlantic horseshoe crab)
Lineage: Eukaryota; Metazoa; Arthropoda; Merostomata; Xiphosura; Limulidae
Exons: 2
Source: RefSeq, a predicted model, not a curated record